AUACGGAGGAUCCGAGCGUUAUCCGGAUUUAUUGGGUUUAAAGGGUGCGCAGGCGGCCAUUUAAGUCAGCGGUUAAAUCGUGGGGCUCAACCCCAUUCUGCCGUUGAUACUGGGUGGCUUGAUUGCGGUCGAGGUUGGCGGAAUUCGUUGUGUAGCGGUGAAAUGCAUAGAUAUGACGAAGAACACCGAUUGCGUAGGCAGCUGACCAGACCGCAAAUGACGCUCAUGCACGAAAGUGCGGGGAUCGAACAGGAUUAGGUACCCUGGUAGUCCGCACAGUAAACGAUGAAUACUUGUUUUCGGCGAUAUAAUGUCGGAGGCAAAGCGAAAGCGAUAAGUAUUCCACCUGGGGAGUACGCCGGCAACGGUGAAACUCAAAGGAAUUGGCGGGG
Molecule: ribosomal RNA, 392 nt
Filed under: uncultured bacterium
Lineage: Bacteria
Description: partial 16S ribosomal RNA
Rfam family: Bacterial small subunit ribosomal RNA
Source: RNAcentral